ACUCCUGCGGGAGGCAGCAGUGGGGAAUUUUGGACAAUGGGCGAAAGCCUGAUCCAGCAAUGCCGCGUGAGUGAAGAAGGCCUUCGGGUUGUAAAGCUCUUUUGUCAGGGAAGAAACGGUGAAAGCUAAUAUCUUUUGCUAAUGACGGUACCUGAAGAAUAAGCACCGGCUAACUACGUGCCAGCAGCCGCGGUAAUACGUAGGGUGCAAGCGUUAAUCGGAAUUACUGGGCGUAAAGCGUGCGCAGGCGGUUUUGUAAGUCUGAUGUGAAAUCCCCGGGCUCAACCUGGGAAUUGCAUUGGAGACUGCAAGGCUAGAAUCUGGCAGAGGGGGGUAGAAUUCCACGUGUAGCAGUGAAAUGCGUAGAUAUAUGGAGGAACACCGAUGGCGAAGGCAGCCCCCUGGGUCAAGAUUGACGCUCAUGCACGAAAGCGUGGGGAGCAAACAGGAUUAGAAACCCCUGUAGUCCCAUG
RNAcentral lists this ribosomal RNA (473 nucleotides) under uncultured organism. RNAcentral describes it as "partial 16S ribosomal RNA". It matches the Rfam family "Bacterial small subunit ribosomal RNA", at positions 335 to 799 of the family's 1533-position model. The record is from RNAcentral.